This is a small nuclear RNA of Gorilla gorilla gorilla (western lowland gorilla), 165 nucleotides long. Its record names the gene U1. It matches the Rfam family "U1 spliceosomal RNA". Rfam says of the family: U1 is a small nuclear RNA (snRNA) component of the spliceosome (involved in pre-mRNA splicing). Its 5' end forms complementary base pairs with the 5' splice junction, thus defining the 5' donor site of an intron. The record is from Ensembl. NCBI's taxonomy places the organism in Eukaryota, Metazoa, Chordata, Mammalia, Primates, Hominidae.
AUACUUACCUGGCAGGGGAGAUUACCAUGAUCAUGAAGGUGGUUUUCCCAGGGCAAGGCUUAUCCAUUGCACUCCAGAUGUGCUGACCCCUUCAAUUUCCCAAAAUGUGGAAAACUCGACUGCAUAAUUUAUGGUAGUGGGGGACUACAUUCGCGCUUUCUCCUG